Molecule: long non-coding RNA, 619 nt
Organism: Dalotia coriaria
Lineage: Eukaryota; Metazoa; Arthropoda; Insecta; Coleoptera; Staphylinidae
Exons: 2
Source: RefSeq, a predicted model, not a curated record
AGCAACUAGAAACGGUUGAAACGUGGUAAUGAUAAACAAGACAAAAGCGCACCGCUAAAGCACCGACGUGAUGCGGGUAGUAAAAGGAUAUGGUUGAUGUAGUGUGUAAAGAUGUGAGGAUGUGAUUUGGUAUUAGGAAAACAUAAAAAAUACCUGAUUUGCCUCCGUGUCCGGCUCGGGCGGACUCGAUACAACAAAAUGCAACCGUGUUUCAUCACUAUGGGCAUAAAACUAAAAAAAUCGAAAGGAAACAAAAGUUGAAGACGGACUUGAUACUGAUAGAGGAGGUGAUAAUGUGCCGAACUGCGAGUUGUACAAGUCUCGAGGCGCGCCGCGCGCGAACAACACUUACUUUUUCCACUUCGUCAUCGAAAGGAUCGCCGUUCGUCACGCUGUCACGCUGCGACAUCUCCAUUAGCGAAGCACGCUUCGCCGCAAAAUACAGAUUACGUUUCAGCUUCAGGUACAGCACUUCCGAGCACGCGCGUACCGUGUAAUCCGGCUGGAAGGUGUGCUUCAUCAUGCUGUCCAUAUUCAACGAUUGUAAACUGCCUAUCGUCGCUGGAGAUUCAACUAAAAACAAUGCGCACAUUAAAAUAAAAUCGAAAGCAUAAAACAA